Metopolophium dirhodum (rose-grain aphid) is the source of this 700-nucleotide long non-coding RNA. RefSeq lists it as uncharacterized. Lineage: Eukaryota; Metazoa; Arthropoda; Insecta; Hemiptera; Aphididae. The record is from RefSeq and is a predicted model, not a curated record. The transcript has 4 exons.
CACGUUUCAGUAGGUUAUACGCCAGUAUAAUAACACAGUGUUAUAACACAGUGCCUAAUUUUACUGCGUUUUGGCCACUUUUUGAAUAUUCAUCGUACGAAUUAUAACUACCUAUUAUAAUUCCAUUAGUUCGACAUCAAUUCAUUGUCGUCAAUUCAUUGCCACUCGACAAGCAGAACCUAUCCAAUAACGUUACAGAGAGCUCUCUAUCACGCACCAACAAGAACAUGUCUUCAAAACCCCAUUUAUCGUUUAAGGAUAAACGAGAUCGAAAAAAAGUAAAAAAAAAAAACUGCUGCAAAACAAACGAAGAUACAAGCAAAGAUAAUUGUGUACUAGGCCGUCAGAAUUGGCCAGAUCUUUCAGCUUCAAAAAAUGAUAGAGGAAGAUCAAAUAAUGCGAGAAAUGACGACCACGAUAAAACAACAACUAAUAACAAUAACAACAAUCAACAACCCAAAUCCCAAGAACCUUUGCCGUCAAAGCAUACUUUGUGGAAUGCAUCGAAACCAAAAUCGAAACGUAUCCAUACUUUGAUCUAGAGACAAUGGACCAUUGCUACAGAUAAUUGAAAUGUCUAGAAACUCCAAUUUCACAAACAAGAGGCACACGCACAACUUUAGUGGUGAAUUGGGCCAAACAAUCGUAAUAUAUAAUUGUAUUGUAUUUAACAUAUUAUAUAUAUUUUUUUUUUAUUGGC